RNAcentral lists this unclassified non-coding RNA (377 nucleotides) under uncultured Alphaproteobacteria bacterium. RNAcentral describes it as "contains 16S-23S intergenic spacer region". The record is from RNAcentral. Lineage: Bacteria; Pseudomonadati; Pseudomonadota; Alphaproteobacteria.
UCCGGCUUGCCACCGGCAGUUUCACUAGAGUUCCCAGCGUUACCUGAUGGCAACUAGUGAUGGGGGUUGCGCUCGUUGCGGGACUUAACCCAACACCUCACGACACGAGCUGACGACAGCCAUGCAGCACCUGUCUCUGCGUCCCUUGCGGGAAAACUCCUAUUAAGGAGCGGUCGCAGGAUGUCAAACCCUGGUAAGGUUCUGCGCGUUGCGUCGAAUUAAACCACAUGCUCCACCGCUUGUGCGGGCCCCCGUCAAUUCCUUUGAGUUUCAACCUUGCGGCCGUACUCCCCAGGCGGAAUGCUUAAUGCGUUAGCUGCGCCACUGAACAGCAAGCUGCCCAACGGCUAGCAUUCAUCGUUUACGGCGUGGACUAC